CACGUAGUUAGCCGGGGCUUCUUAGUCAGGUACUGUCAUUUUCUUCCCUGCUGAUAGGGCUUUACAUACCGAAAUACUUCUUCACUCACGCGGCGUUGCUGCAUCAGGGUUUCCCCCAUUGUGCAAUAUUCCCCACUGCUGCCUCCCGUAGGAGUUUGGGCCGUGUCUCAGUCCCAAUGUGGCCGGUCACCCUCUCAGGCCGGCUACUGAUCGUCGCCUUGGUGAGCCGUUACCUCACCAACCAGCUAAUCAGACGCGGGUCCAUCUUACACCGAUAGCUCUUUCCGUCAGGGUCAUGCGACCCCAGCGGGUUAUGCGGUAUUAGCAGUCAUUUCUAACUGUUAUCCCCCUGUGUAAGGCAGGUUACCCACGCGUUACUCACCCGUCCGCCGCUCAGUCAAACCAUCUUCAUUCCGAAGAAUUCAAUAGAGUGCUUCGCUCGACUUGCAUGUGUUAAGCUACGCCGCCAGCGUUCAUCCUGAGCCAGGAUCAAACUCUACG
Molecule: ribosomal RNA, 501 nt
Filed under: uncultured Lachnospiraceae bacterium
Lineage: Bacteria; Bacillati; Bacillota; Clostridia; Lachnospirales; Lachnospiraceae
Description: partial 16S ribosomal RNA
Source: RNAcentral